Molecule: ribosomal RNA, 694 nt
Filed under: Escherichia coli
Lineage: Bacteria; Pseudomonadati; Pseudomonadota; Gammaproteobacteria; Enterobacterales; Enterobacteriaceae
Description: partial 23S ribosomal RNA
Rfam family: Bacterial large subunit ribosomal RNA
Source: RNAcentral
GGCCCGUAAUCCGGGUUGCGGACAGUGUCUGGUGGGUAGUUUGACUGGGGCGGUCUCCUCCUAAAGAGUAACGGAGGAGCACGAAGGUUGGCUAAUCCUGGUCGGACAUCAGGAGGUUAGUGCAAUGGCAUAAGCCAGCUUGACUGCGAGCGUGACGGCGCGAGCAGGUGCGAAAGCAGGUCAUAGUGAUCCGGUGGUUCUGAAUGGAAGGGCCAUCGCUCAACGGAUAAAAGGUACUCCGGGGAUAACAGGCUGAUACCGCCCAAGAGUUCAUAUCGACGGCGGUGUUUGGCACCUCGAUGUCGGCUCAUCACAUCCUGGGGCUGAAGUAGGUCCCAAGGGUAUGGCUGUUCGCCAUUUAAAGUGGUACGCGAGCUGGGUUUAGAACGUCGUGAGACAGUUCGGUCCCUAUCUGCCGUGGGCGCUGGAGAACUGAGGGGGGCUGCUCCUAGUACGAGAGGACCGGAGUGGACGCAUCACUGGUGUUCGGGUUGUCAUGCCAAUGGCACUGCCCGGUAGCUAAAUGCGGAAGAGAUAAGUGCUGAAAGCAUCUAAGCACGAAACUUGCCCCGAGAUGAGUUCUCCCUGAGACUUAGAGUCUCCUGAAGGAACGUUGAAGACGACGACGUUGAUAGGCCGGGUGUGUAAGCGCAGCGAUGCGUUGAGCUAACCGGUACUAAUGAACCGUGAGGCU